Molecule: long non-coding RNA, 898 nt
Organism: Xyrauchen texanus (razorback sucker)
Lineage: Eukaryota; Metazoa; Chordata; Actinopteri; Cypriniformes; Catostomidae
Exons: 3
Source: RefSeq, a predicted model, not a curated record
AUAGCUUUCAGGACUGGCUAUUGCUUAAACUGGUCAACAAUUAAUACAGUGAUUUAUCUUUAUGUUGUUAUUGCCAUGAUGAAACCUAUUACAGAAUAUAUAUCAGAAUAUAUAUAGCCUAUAUAUAUCAGAAUAUAUAUUUUUAAAGUGUAGUAUUAUUAUAAUUAUUAAUCGGAAGAAAAAUACGAAGAAGAAGAAGAAGAAGUGCUCUCGUGCGUUCUGCUCCCGCGCAACGCAAGAAGCGGUGAUUUUAAAAAAAACGGCUUCAUAUGACUUCCCCAUUAAAGAACAUCCAGUAUACUUUAUUCCUCUGAAAUACAGGUUUCACUGAGCUGCAACAAAUCCUCCACAGAACCUCACACCAACAAUGGUGAUUACAGGAGACCCAUUUGGUGAAAGCAGCAUUGCGGUUUUUCUUCAUGGCGAAGAACUGCUUGCUGAUGAACCUGAUGACAUAACAAUGGGUGUAGGCCUUACUAUGAGUGCCUACUUUCUGUUCAACAUUAAGUACAGGAAACCAACUAAAAGUACACUGACUUUUCUGCAGUAUCUGUUGGGCAUUCAGAAGGAGAGCAUCAAGCUACCUACAGUUGUGUUGAGGCUUAUCAAUUUCUUAAAAUGUCCUGUGUGAAUAUUCCCAGAGUGAAAAUGUUACCAUUGACUGCAUUGUAAAUUGAAUUGUAGUCAAUUUGAAUUUUAGGCUACUGUUUUUGAGGAACCUGAAAUAUAUUCGAAAGUUUUAAGAUAUUUGAGUCAUAUUUAUAUUUUACAGUUUUGUCAAGAUUUAAACUCUUAAUGUAUCACAAUAUUAACAUUAUACAUGUGCUUCCAUGAAUUAGAUGUUGAUACAUUUAUUUAUUGACUAUAAGGUGAUUAUUUAUUGAACUUUUUAUUUGUA